RNAcentral lists this ribosomal RNA (253 nucleotides) under uncultured bacterium. RNAcentral describes it as "partial 16S ribosomal RNA". It matches the Rfam family "Bacterial small subunit ribosomal RNA", at positions 524 to 776 of the family's 1533-position model. The record is from RNAcentral.
UACGUAGGUGGCAAGCGUUGUCCGGAUUUACUGGGCGUAAAGAGCGCGCAGGCGGUCGUUCAAGUCGCGUGUGAAAGCCCCCGGCUCAACUGGGGAGGGUCACGCGAUACUGAUCGACUCGAAGGCAGGAGAGGGAAGUGGAAUUCCCGGUGUAGUGGUGAAAUGCGCAGAUAUCAGGAAGAACACCUAUGGCGAAGGCAGCUCUCUGGGACGGUACUGACGCUGAGACGCGAAAGCGUGGGGAGCGAACAGG